RNAcentral lists this ribosomal RNA (320 nucleotides) under uncultured bacterium. RNAcentral describes it as "bacterial SSU rRNA". It matches the Rfam family "Bacterial small subunit ribosomal RNA", at positions 470 to 789 of the family's 1533-position model. The record is from RNAcentral.
UGAGAGUAUGUGGCGAAUAAGCAUCGGCUAACUCCGUGCCAGCAGCCGCGGUAAUACGGAGGAUGCAAGCGUUAUCCGGAUUUAUUGGGUUUAAAGGGUGCGUAGGCGGACGCGUAAGUCAGCGGUGAAAUAUCCCGGCUCAACCGGGAGGCUGCCGUUGAUACUGCGCGACUAGAGUCCGAACGGCGCUGGCGGAAUAUGUAAUGUAGCGGUGAAAUGCAUAGAUAUUACAUAGAACACCGAUCGCGAAGGCAGCUGGCGAGGACGGCACUGACGCUGAGGCACGAAGGCGUGGGGAUCAAACAGGAUUAGAUACCCUG